This is a long non-coding RNA of Phoenix dactylifera (date palm), 995 nucleotides long. RefSeq lists it as uncharacterized. The record is from RefSeq and is a predicted model, not a curated record. Lineage: Eukaryota; Viridiplantae; Streptophyta; Magnoliopsida; Arecales; Arecaceae.
UGUCCGCGUUCGUAUCCAAGUUUAGUAUCUGAUUUCUUCUAGUGCGUUGGACUUCAAUGCAUUUCUUGAUGGGAAGACCGGGAUUGGGUCUUGAAAAGAUUCUGACUUUGAGAUCAAACCACAGGCGUGGGGACAGGAUCGUGUCAAGAUGAACACCGUGGUGUCGAACUAACGAGGGAAGUUCGUUGGGGCUGGUCUGAUGCACAGAGGCGGAACGAGUACCAGGUGCUUGACGGAAUGCGCAAUUGGUGGGAGAGAAGAAUGAAGUCAAAGAGCUGUCAGGACAGUGAAGGAAAUUGAAGUAUGCUUGUUGGAGUAGGGAAAAGUUGAGAAUAUGACGGAGAACGGAGUUAUUACUCCUUUGAUGGGAGAUGUUGGACGGGCAUCAAGUUAGGCAAUACGGCCUACAUGAAGAGCAUGUUCUAUCUUUUCUGGUUUUCGUUUGUCAUUUUCCAAUUUCAAUGUACCUCACGAGGAGACCAGCUAUUGCCACGAUUGCAAGAGGCAAUCCAUCACAUAUGCUGACAAUAUCAUGAGAAAUAUCUUCGAGCUCUGGAGGGCAGGUCCCCCCCGGGAUGGAUCGAAAAGCCUUUUUACAAAACAGAGACCAAGCCUUUGCUGGAGGUAGUGGUUGAAGAUUGCAGACGUGACCGCAUGUUUCAAGGCAUGAGAGACCCACAUCCCUAAUUCGUGUUGUAACUAAAACUCUACUACCACAAUUAUUAACAGAAGCUAUCCGAUGGUGAGUACCCAGAUGCUUGAUGUAGUGAAUACCUCUAUGAAGGAAGCCAGAAAAUCCAUGCCCAUGAGGCCGGUUAAAGUGGAGCACAAACUCAUCAAGAACAUCCUCAAUGUCAUACGCUAUCUCUCGUACUUGAUUCACCCAUGUUCUCAUGCCAUCUCUAUCUUCUCUAGCAUCUGCUUCUCUCAAAAAUGAUUUUAUGCACUCAAGCUCAUCUCUGAUAUCUUUGACUCCUGUGUCUACCCCUCUCAAC